CGACUGGGCAGCUUCGUGAUGAGUCACCGUCGGAGGUUGCAGUCGUCGGAGCUCUGGCGAGGAGGACCAGCAGCGAGCAGGGGGACGUUGGACACCGAGCGGACUGGCAGCAACAGCAGGUCGCGGGUUGUGAGCUGCAGGCGUCGGGUCGCUGGUUGGAGCGGCACGGGUGGAGCAACAAGCAGCUUUGCUCGGAGGAGGCUUGGAGCGAAGCUAUUGGGCAUCGGGGCAGAGGUGGCGCGAGGAUCGGCGACGAAUGGACCAGGAGCAGCGUCGGGGUCGUCGUGGAUCGGCAUAGCGGUGGCUUCGUCGAGCUAGUGGAGCGACUCGGCAACAGCAGCGGCUUUGCGGGAGGAUCAGAGGCGGAGAGGGACAGGCUGAGGGCUGAAUCACGGCAGGAGUGGCGGUAGGGAUCGGUGCGGCAGCAGACCGGUGGUACGGGCUCCUGUGGCGUCGGGCAAUAGCAGAAGGUGAAACUGCAGAGGCGUUGGGUCGCGGCUGCUGCAGGGGAGCGACUGUGUGGCCGGGGGAAGAAAAACAGCUGGUGUCACAAGGGUUCAAGCGCGGUGGCUGGCGGAGAUUUAGUGGGGCGUCUGUUUCGGGUUGCAGCUCCGGUGCAGCAGAUUGGGCAGUGGUGGAGCAGGGACGUCAUUGCUGGUGUAGUGGGUAGGGAUCGACGUGGCUUCAGCAGACGACGACGAAGGAGAUUGGCAGAGGUGGGGGCGUCGACAAGGCAGGGCCGGCGGUGGCGGAUGCCAAGUGACGCUGCUGCUCAAAGGUCGGUGAGGGGCACACCGAAGAGGAGAAACAGUAGAUUUUGUUUUUUUUCCCUUUUCUUCCUCUCUCCUCUGCUCUCCUCUCUCUCGCUGUUCGCACGUCCCUUCCUCUCUGCCCCCUUUCACUUUUCACUUUUCACCUUUUUUUUCCUCUUUCAAAGAUCGAAAGAAAAACCUCCAAAAGUCC
Molecule: long non-coding RNA, 963 nt
Filed under: Eucalyptus grandis
Lineage: Eukaryota; Viridiplantae; Streptophyta; Magnoliopsida; Myrtales; Myrtaceae
Description: long non-coding RNA (EGRA_LNC006329)
Source: RNAcentral